This 205-nucleotide microRNA precursor is filed under the name Oryza glumipatula. Its description in RNAcentral is "MIR812 microRNA precursor family". It matches the Rfam family "MIR812 microRNA precursor family". The record is from Rfam by way of RNAcentral. Lineage: Eukaryota; Viridiplantae; Streptophyta; Magnoliopsida; Poales; Poaceae.
AAAAAGACAAACCCUAGGUUUCCAUGUCCAACGUUUGACUGUCUGUCUUAUAUGAUUUUUUUUAUAAUUAGUAUUUUCAUUGUUGUUAGAUGAUAAAACAUGAUUAAUAUUUUAUGCGUGACUUAUCUUUUUAUUUUUUUCAUAAUUUUUUCAAAUAAGAUGGACGGUUAAACGUUGGACACGGAAACCUAGGGUUUGUCUUUUU